RNAcentral lists this ribosomal RNA (481 nucleotides) under uncultured bacterium. Its description in RNAcentral is "partial 16S ribosomal RNA". It matches the Rfam family "Bacterial small subunit ribosomal RNA", at positions 28 to 523 of the family's 1533-position model. The record is from RNAcentral.
GACGAACGCUGGCGGCGUGCUUAACACAUGCAAGUCGAACGCUGAAGCCCUUUCGGGGGUGGAUGAGUGGCGAACGGGUGAGUAACACGUGGGUAAUCUGCCCUGCACUCUGGGAUAAGCCUUGGAAACGGGGUCUAAUACCGGUUAGGACACAUCGCCGCAGGGUGUGUGAGUGGUAAGUUCCGGCGGUGCAGGUUGAGACCGCGGCCUAUCAGCUUGUUGGUGGGGUGAUGGCCUACCAAGGCGACGACGGGUAGCCGGCCUGAGAGGGGGACCGGCCACACUGGGACUGAGACACGGCCCAGACUCCUACGGGAGGCAGCAGUGGGGAAUCUUGCGCAAUGGGCGAAAGCCUGACGCAGCAACGCCGCGUGGGGGAUGACGGCCUUCGGGUUGUAAACCUCUUUCGACCGGGACGAAGGGUGACUGACGGUACCGGUAGAAGAAGCACCGGCUAACUACGUGCCAGCCGCCGCAGUAA